GACGAACGCUGGCGGCGUGCCUAACACAUGCAAGUCGAACGGGGCAGAGAGCUUCGGUUUUCUGCUUAGUGGCGAACGGGUGAGUAACGCGUGAGGAACCUGCCUUUCAGUGGGGGACAACAGUUGGAAACGACUGCUAAUACCGCAUGACACUUCUGGGUGGCAUCACCUAGAAGUCAAAGCUUUAUGUGCUGAAAGAUGGCCUCGCGUCUGAUUAGCUAGUUGGUGGGGUAACGGCCCACCAAGGCGACGAUCAGUAGCCGGUCUGAGAGGAUGAACGGCCACAUUGGGACUGAGAUACGGCCCAGACUCCUACGGGGGGCAGCAGGUGGGGAAUAGUUGGGCGAAUGGGGGAAACCCUGACCCAGCAACGCCGCGUGAGGGAAGAAGG
This 391-nucleotide ribosomal RNA is filed under the name uncultured bacterium. Its description in RNAcentral is "bacterial SSU rRNA". It matches the Rfam family "Bacterial small subunit ribosomal RNA", at positions 28 to 414 of the family's 1533-position model. The record is from RNAcentral.